CCUACGGGGGGCUGCAGUGGGGAAUAUUGGACAAUGGGGGGACCCCUGAUCCAGCGACGCCGCGUGAGUGAAGAAGUAUUUCGGUAUGUAAAGCCCUAUCAGCCGGGAAGAAAAUGACGGUACCUGUCUAAGAAGCCCCGGCUAACUACGUGCCAGCAGCCGCGGUAAUACGUAGGGGGCAAGCGUUAUCCGGAAUUAAUGGGUGUAAAGGGAGCGUAGACGGUGCAGCACGUCUCGUGUGAAAGGUCCGGGCCCAACCCCGGGUCGGCAGUGGAAACUGUUGUGCUGGAGUACAGGAGAGGGAGGCGGAAUGCGUAGUGUAGCGGUGAAAUGCGUAGAUAUUAGGAGGAAAACCAGUUGCGAAGGCGGCAUACUGG
RNAcentral lists this ribosomal RNA (377 nucleotides) under uncultured bacterium. Its description in RNAcentral is "partial 16S ribosomal RNA". It matches the Rfam family "Bacterial small subunit ribosomal RNA", at positions 338 to 732 of the family's 1533-position model. The record is from RNAcentral.